CCACUAAAAUAUGACAUUUUUUAACAUCCUAUUCUAUGGCAAUUUGAUUAGACAAUACUAUGGCAUGUUUUUUCAUUCUAAAAUCUGAAAUUUUGGUCAUAGUAUACUAUGUCUUUUUUUUUUUUCAGACCAAAAUAUGAUUUUUUUCAUUUUCCUGCUAAAAUAUGACAUUUUUAACAUCCUAUUCUAUGGCAAUUUGAUCAGACAAUACGAUGGCAUGUUUUUUCAUCCUAAAAUCUGAAUUUUUUUCUCACCCUAAAAUCUGAAAUUUUGGUCAUAGUAUACUAUGUCUUUUUUUUUUUUUCCCAACCAAAAUAUGAUUUUUUCAUUUUCCCGCUAAAAUAGGAAAUUUAUAACAUCCUAUACUAUGGCAAUUUGAACAGACAAUACUAUGGCAUGUUUUCUCAUCCUAAAAUCUGAAUUUUUUUUUCACCCUAAAAUCUGAAAUUUUGGUCACCCUAAAAAUGCUAAAUAUGAACAAAGAAAAACAAUUCAGAAAAGGAAAAACCCCACAGUUGGUCCUGAAAGAAAAGAAGACUAUUGGCAGAAUAAUCAAACCUUUGGCUGUGUGAAGUGUUGUUAUUCUUAUGUUAAUUACAUCAAUAAAGGAUAAGGAGACUGACUGGGACUCCUGAGGUUGUGGGUUCAAGCCUUGCCUUAUACACUCGCAGUGAAAUUUCAAGUCUAGUGUUGAGAAAAGAGAGUGAAAUAGGACAAACCCAGAAUUGCCCUGUGUGUCUACGUAGCUCAGAGGAUAAGGAGACUGACUGGGACUCCUGAGGUUGUGGGUUCAAGCCUUACCUUAUACACUCGCAGUGAAAUUUAAAGUCUAGUGUUGAGAAAAGAGAGUGAAAUAGGAAAAACCUGGAACUCCCCUGUGUGUCUACGUGGCUCAGAGGAUAAGGAGACUGAUUGGGACUCCUGAGGUUGUGGGUUCAAGCCUUGCCUUAUACACUUGCAGUGAAAUUUAAAGUCUAGUGUUGAGAAAAGAGAGUGAAAUAGGAAAAACCCGGAAUUGCCCUGUGUGUCUACAUAGCUCAGAGGAUAAGGAGACUGACUGGGACUCCUGAGGUUGUGGGUUCAAGCCUUGCCUUAUACACUCGCAGUGAAAUUUAAAGUCUAGUGUUGAGAAAAGAGAGUGAAAUAGGAAAAACCCGGAACUCGCCUGUGUGUCUACGUAGCUCAGAGGAUAAGGAGACUGACUGGGACUCCUGAGGUUGUUGGUUCAAGCCUUACCUUAUACACUCGUGGUGAAAUUUAAAGUCUAGGGUCUAGAAAGAAGAGUGAAAUAGGACAAACCCGGAAUUGCCCUGUGUGUCUACGUAGCUCAGAGGAUAAGGAGACUGACUGGGACUCCUGAGGUUGUGGGUUCAAGCCUUGCCUUAUACACUCGCAGUGAAAUUUAAAGUCCAGUGUUGAGAAAAGAGAGUGAAAUAGGAAAAACCCGGAACUCGCCUGUGUGUCUACGUAGCUCAGAGGAUAAGGAGACUGACUGGGACUCCUGAGGUUGUUGGUUCAAGCCUUACCUUAUACACUCGUGGUGAAAUUUAAAGUCUAGGGUCUAGAAAGAAGAGUGAAAUAGGACAAACCCGGAAUUGCCCUGUGUGUCUACUUAGCUCAGAGGAUAAGGAGACUGACUGGGACUCCUGAGGUUGUGGGUUCAAACCUUGCCUUAUACACUCGCAGUGAAAUUUAAAGUCCAGUGUUGAGAAAAGAGAGUGAAAUAGGACAAACCCGGAAUUGCCCUGUGUGUCUACAUAGCUCAGAGGAUAAGGAGACUGACUGGGACUCCUGAGGUUGUGGGUUCAAGCCUUGCCUUAUACACUCGCAGUGAAAUUUAAAGUCUAGUGUUGAGAAAAGAGAGUGAAAUAGGAAAAACCCGGAACUCCCCUGUGUGUCUACGUAGCUCAGAGGAUAAGGAGACUGACUGGGACUCCUGAGGUUGUUGGUUCAAGCCUUACCUUAAAUUUACAGGUUUUGAAAACUAGACCUAAACGUACGUACGUAGCUCAGAGCAUAAGGAGACUGACUGGCACUCCUGAGGUUGUGAGUUCAAGCCUUGCCUUAUACACGCGUGGUGAAAUUUAAAGUCUAGGGUCUAGAAAGGAGAGUGAAAUAGGACAAACCCGGAAUUGCCCUGUAUGUCUACAUAGCUCAGAGGAUAAGGAGACUGACUGGGACUCCUGAGGUUGUGGGUUCAAGCCUUGCCUUAUACACUCGCAGUGAAAUUUAAAGUCGAGUGUCUAGUAAGGAGACUGAAAUAGGACAAACCCGGAAUUACCCUGUGUGUUCACAUAGACCAGAGGAUAAGGAGACUGCCUGAGACUCUUGAGGUCGUGGGUUCAAACCUUACCCACAUCUAGUUAAAUUUUAAAGUCCUUUAGCCAAAGUAAGAUGAUAAAAGCGGGCAUUCCGCAUGCCCUAGUGUGGAUCCUAUCUAAUGGCCUGCAUGGAAGUCUAUUGGCACCCAAUGGGGCCUGGUUUGAUAUCAACUCGUGGC
Molecule: long non-coding RNA, 2500 nt
Filed under: Xyrichtys novacula (pearly razorfish)
Lineage: Eukaryota; Metazoa; Chordata; Actinopteri; Labriformes; Labridae
Source: RNAcentral